This 116-nucleotide small RNA is filed under the name Salmonella enterica. Its description in RNAcentral is "partial RtT sRNA". It matches the Rfam family "RtT RNA", at positions 16 to 130 of the family's 130-position model. Rfam says of the family: This family represents a bacterial cis-regulatory element known as RtT RNA. The exact function of RtT is unknown although it is thought that it may be involved in changing the cellular response in relation to amino acid starvation. The record is from RNAcentral. Lineage: Bacteria; Pseudomonadati; Pseudomonadota; Gammaproteobacteria; Enterobacterales; Enterobacteriaceae.
GGAAGGAUGAGAAGCUUCGACUAAGGUUCGAUUCGAGCGCAGCGAGAAAGCGUUGCCGCAGGCAACGACCCGAAGGGCGAAGCGCGCAGCGCUGAGUAAUCCUUCCCCCACCACCA